Molecule: long non-coding RNA, 1531 nt
Organism: Carya illinoinensis
Lineage: Eukaryota; Viridiplantae; Streptophyta; Magnoliopsida; Fagales; Juglandaceae
Exons: 2
Source: RefSeq, a predicted model, not a curated record
UUAUUUUUAUUAUACUAUUUUUAUUUGUUGUACCAUUCUAUUUUCGGGUGGGCUUAUUUUUAGUGGGUUUUAAAUCAUGUUUUGGGCCCAGCCUUGUAGCUGUUGGAAGCCCAAUUCGUUGGCUUGUUUUCAGCCAGCUCUCUCUCCAUAAACGGUGUGUUUUGACCUUGCUUAGAGUUAGGGCUUGUCUCAUUUUCUUUUCUUCUUCACCUUUCUCCUACCGCAGCCACACACUACUCUUCUUCUUCUUUGUUUUAUUUUUCUUCUCCUACACGCCGUCCAUUCCUUCUUCAUUUUUAUUGCGUUAUUUUCUUCUGCAACCGGUGUUGCUGCAGUCGACUUUCUCCAUUUUCGUUAGGGCUAGGGUUUGUCACCCAAGAAAUCAGCAAUCCUGGAAUUAGCCUUGGAUAUGUAUCAGAGGGUUGAAAAAUACAAGCCCAAGUUUCAGAUAUGUUUUGCUAUUUCUUAUUACUGUUAGGCUAUUGGAAUUAUAUAAAUACUUAUUUAAUUUCUAGAGUUCAUCUGUUUUUUUUUUAAUUGUGGGGUUUUAUUUAUUUAUUUGGGUAUGUUAUAUGCUGUUGGCUCUUGGAAUUAUAUGGCUUCUUGGGUUAAAUGGAUUACGGUCUGUCUUGGGUUUUGGGUUUGUGAAUUCAUCUGGUUUAACUGCUGUUCCAUUUUUUUUUUUUUGUAGUUUUUUUUUUUGAAGUUUUUUAAUUUCCAAUGACACAACAUCACACUACUUCACACUACUUUCCUUCUCUUAACCUAUUAACUAUCAAGAUAGCCAACAAAAAGAGAAUACAUUAUUAUUGGAACACAUUUUUAUUUUCAGAUCCUCACCCUAGGAUGUUUAUCUAAUUCUCUUUUUGCUCCUAGCUUUAGAUAUAUCACUGACAAAACAUCACACAAAUUUUCUUUUCUUAACCUAUUCACUGUCAAGAUAGCUCACAAAAGAAAGAGUACACUUUUAUUUUUAGAUCUUUGAUAAAUCUGACAAUAGCAAAUGAAAGGGAUCGAAAAGUGGAAGAUAACAAAAUAAGUAAACCACAAGAUAGACUUACAGAGAUAAAAAUCAGAAAUGUAAAACUCUGAAAGUCUCCAACCAAGAAAACCUGAAAAGAAAUCACUAUUAGAAACGAACAGAAAACAUUAAGCACUGCAGGAAACAAUGAAAAAAAAAAAGAAGAAAGAAAUGCUAGUAGGGUAAGGUAACAAUGAAAGAAAGAAGAAAGAAAAGCCAGUAGGGUAAAGAAAAUAACUCAAGAACUAAAUGUGCAGCUCUGAAAGAAAGCACCAAACGACAUAAGCAGGGUGAACAAAAAUAAUCUUCAUAGACCCUUUUAAGGUGCAAUGGCUUCCUGAACUAUCAUCCUAGGAACUCCCAUCGCAUGCAGCAGACCACUACAAAACCAAUCAACCCACUGGAAAACCAAUCAAACCAAAUAUUGGAAAACCAAAUGGAAAACUGGCAGCAUCAUACCACUGCAUAUGCAUUUUUUAUUUCUUGCAUUUUAUUUCCCAUAAUUAUUUU